UGCGUAGGCGGUUUGUCGCGUCUGCUGUGAAAUCCUCAGGCUCAACUUGGGGCAUGCAGUGGGUACGGGCAGACUAGAGUGCGGUAGGGGAGACUGGAAUUCCUGGUGUAGCGGUGGAAUGCGCAGAUAUCAGGAGGAACACCGAUGGCGAAGGCAGGUCUCUGGGCCGUUACUGACGCUGAGGAGCGAAAGCAUGGGAGCGAACA
Molecule: ribosomal RNA, 206 nt
Filed under: uncultured bacterium
Lineage: Bacteria
Description: partial 16S ribosomal RNA
Rfam family: Bacterial small subunit ribosomal RNA
Source: RNAcentral